CCUACCAAGGCUGCGAUCGGUAGCCGGUUUGAGAGGACGACCGGCCACACUGGGACUGAGACACGGCCCAGACUCCUACGGGAGGCAGCAGUGGGGAAUUUUCCGCAAUGGGCGAAAGCCUGACGGAGCAAUACCGCGUGAGGGAGGAAGGCUCUUGGGUCGUAAACCUCUUUUCUCAGGGAAGAAGCAAUGACGGUACCUGAGGAAUCAGCAUCGGCUAACUCCGUGCCAGCAGCCGCGGUAAUACGGAGGAUGCAAGCGUUAUCCGGAAUGAUUGGGCGUAAAGCGUCCGCAGGUGGCACAUCAAGUCUGCUGUCAAAGCCCCCAGCUUAACUGGGAAGAGGCGGUGGAAACUGGUGAGCUAGAGAGCAAUAGGGGUAGAGGGAAUUCCCGGUGUAGCGGUGAAAUGCGUAGAGAUCGGGAAGAACACCAGUGGCGAAAGCGCUCUACUAGGUUGCAACUGACACUGAGGGACGAAAGCUAGGGGAGCGAAUGGGAUUAGAUACCCCAGUAGUCCUAGCCGUAAACGAUGGAUACUAGGCGUUUCUCGUAUCGACCCGAGGAGUGCCGGAGCCAACGCGUUAAGUAUCCCGCCUGGGGAGUACGCACGCAAGUGUGAAACUCAAGGAAUUGACGGGGGCCCGCACAAGCGGUGGAGUAUGUGGUUUAUUUCGAUUGCAACGCGAAGAACCUUACCAGGGCUUGACAUGUCUUGGAACCGUGGGAAACUAUGGGGGUGCCGAAAGGAACCAGAACACAGGGUGGUGCAUGGCUGUCGUCAGUUCGUGGUCUUGAGAAUGUUUGGG
Molecule: ribosomal RNA, 806 nt
Filed under: uncultured Chroococcidiopsis sp.
Lineage: Bacteria; Bacillati; Cyanobacteriota; Cyanophyceae; Chroococcidiopsidales; Chroococcidiopsidaceae
Description: bacterial SSU rRNA
Rfam family: Bacterial small subunit ribosomal RNA
Source: RNAcentral